UGGGGAAUAUUGGACAAUGGGCGAAAGCCUGAUCCAGCCAUGCCGCGUGUGUGAAGAAGGUCUUCGGAUUGUAAAGCACUUUAAGUUGGGAGGAAGGGCAGUAAGCGAAUACCUUGCUGUUUUGACGUUACCGACAGAAUAAGCACCGGCUAACUCUGUGCCAGCAGCCGCGGUAAUACAGAGGGUGCAAGCGUUAAUCGGAAUUACUGGGCGUAAAGCGCGCGUAGGUGGUUCGUUAAGUUGAAUGUGAAAGCCCCGGGCUCAACCUGGGAACUGCAUCCAAAACUGGCGAGCUAGAGUAGGGCAGAAGGUGGUGGAAUUUCCUGUGUAGCGGUGAAAUGAGUAGAUAUAGGAAGGAACACCAGUGGCGAAGGCGACCACCUUGGCUCAUACUGACACUGAGGUGCGAAAGCGUGGGGAGCAAACAGG
RNAcentral lists this ribosomal RNA (429 nucleotides) under Pseudomonadota bacterium. RNAcentral's name for it is "Proteobacteria bacterium partial 16S ribosomal RNA". It matches the Rfam family "Bacterial small subunit ribosomal RNA", at positions 355 to 776 of the family's 1533-position model. The record is from RNAcentral. Lineage: Bacteria; Pseudomonadati; Pseudomonadota.